Molecule: long non-coding RNA, 1118 nt
Filed under: Macaca fascicularis (crab-eating macaque)
Lineage: Eukaryota; Metazoa; Chordata; Mammalia; Primates; Cercopithecidae
Description: lncRNA (ENSMFAG00000051003.1)
Source: RNAcentral
UCAUAGGAGAUGACAGCUCCAGGCGUGUUGCUGCUCCAAAGACCUUCUAGUGGGAAAAGUUGCAGAGGUGGAAGACAGUAAUCUUGACGAUCCUUACCCUGUAUAGACCUAGGCUAAUGUGUGUGUUUGUCUUUUUUAUUGUUUUUUUAAGACAGAAUCUUGCUCUGUCACCCAGGCUAGAGUGCAGUGGCGCGAUCUCAGCCCACUGCAACCUCUCCUGUGCCACAAAGGGAGACUCCAUCUCAAAAAAUAUAUAUAAUAAUAAUUUUUAUAAAUUAAGAGUAGCCUAAGUAUACAGUGUUUAUAAAGCGUACAAUAAUUCCUAGGCCUUCGUAUUCACUCACUCACUCACUCACUCACCCAGAGCAACUUCCAGUCCUACAAACUCCACUCAUGGUGAGUACCCAAUACACAUGUACCAUUUUUAUCUUAUAACUUUUUUUUUCCUUUAGUACUGUGUUUUUUACCAUACCUUCUCCAAGUUUAGAUAUACAAAUACUUAGACUUGUGUUACAAUUGCAUAUAGUAUCCAGUACAGUAACAUGCCAUGUAGGCUUGGAGCCUAGGACCACCGGGUUGUCCAUAUAGUCUAGGUGUGCAGUAGCCUAUACCAUCUAGGCUGUGUAAGUACACUCUAUGAUGUUCACACAAUGAUAAAAUCGCCUAACAACACAUUUCUCAAAACACAUUCCAGUCGUUCGGCAACACAUGACUAUAUAACCUAAAUGUUCCAGGCUCCACCUAUAGGGUUAAAAUUUUGGCCCACAAACACUAGCCCUCACAGGUGGGAGUUCCUGGAUAGGUUACCCUUAGUUGGCCAAAUCAAUAGCAUCAUCCUUCUGGUGUCUCCCCUUUUCCCCUUUCUCCUCUUUUUUUUUUUUUUUUUUUUAGACGGAGUCUCGUUCUGUCACCCAGGCUGCAGUGCAGUGGCACGAUCUUGGCUCACACCAUUUCCCCGGUUCAAGCGAUUCUCCUGCCUCAGCCACCCAUGUAGCUGAAACUACAGGUGCACGCCACCACGCCUAGUUAAAUUUUGUAGUUUUAGUAGAGAUGAGGUUUCACCAUGUUGGCCAGGCGGGUCUUGAAUGCCUGGCCUCAAGUGAUCCACCCGCCUCCAC